This 500-nucleotide ribosomal RNA is filed under the name uncultured bacterium. RNAcentral describes it as "partial 16S ribosomal RNA". It matches the Rfam family "Bacterial small subunit ribosomal RNA", at positions 30 to 523 of the family's 1533-position model. The record is from RNAcentral.
AUUGAACGCUGGCGGCAGGCCUAACACAUGCAAGUCGAGCGGAUGAUGGUAGCUUGCUACCUGAUUCAGCGGCGGACGGGUGAGUAAUGCCUAGGAAUCUGCCUGGUAGUGGGGGACAACGUUUCGAAAGGAACGCUAAUACCGCAUACGACCUACGGGAGAAAGUGGGGGAUCUUCGGGCCUCACGCUAUCAGAUGAGCCUAGGUACGAUUAGCUAGUUGGUGAGGUAAAGGCUCACCAAGGCGACGAUCGUUAACUGGUCUGAGAGGGUGAGCAGUCACACUGGAACUGGGACACGGGCCAGACUCCUACGGGAGGCAGCAGUGGGGAAUAUUGGACAAUUGGCGAAAGGCUGAUCCAGCCAUGCCGCGUGUGUGAAGAAGGUCUUCGGAUUGUAAAGCACUUUAAGUUGGGAGGAAGGGCAGUAAGUUAAUACCUUGCUGUUUUGACGUUACCGACAGAAUAAGCACCGGCUAACUUCGUGCCAGCCGCCGCAGUAA